RNAcentral lists this ribosomal RNA (974 nucleotides) under Brevundimonas sp. enrichment culture clone Lpl3-214. RNAcentral describes it as "bacterial SSU rRNA". It matches the Rfam family "Bacterial small subunit ribosomal RNA", at positions 12 to 1032 of the family's 1533-position model. The record is from RNAcentral. Lineage: Bacteria; Pseudomonadati; Pseudomonadota; Alphaproteobacteria; Caulobacterales; Caulobacteraceae.
UUUGAUUAUGGCUCAGAGCGAACGCUGGCGGCAGGCCUAACACAUGCAAGUCGAACGAACUCUUCGGAGUUAGUGGCGGACGGGUGAGUAACACGUGGGAACGUGCCUUUAGGUUCGGAAUAACUCAGGGAAACUUGUGCUAAUACCGAAUGUGCCCUUCGGGGGAAAGAUUUAUCGCCUUUAGAGCGGCCCGCGUCUGAUUAGCUAGUUGGUGGGGUAAUGGCCCACCAAGGCUACGAUCAGUAGCUGGUCUGAGAGGAUGACCAGCCACAUUGGGACUGAGACACGGCCCAAACUCCUACGGGAGGCAGCAGUGGGGAAUCUUGCGCAAUGGGCGAAAGCCUGACGCAGCCAUGCCGCGUGUAUGAUGAAGGUCUUAGGAUUGUAAAAUACUUUCACCGGUGAAGAUAAUGACUGUAGCCGGAGAAGAAGCCCCGGCUAACUUCGUGCCAGCAGCCGCGGUAAUACGAAGGGGGCUAGCGUUGCUCGGAAUUACUGGGCGUAAAGGGAGCGUAGGCGGACAUUUAAGUCAGGGGUGAAAUCCCAGAGCUCAACUCUGGAACUGCCUUUGAUACUGGGUGUCUUGAGUGUGAGAGAGGUAUGUGGAACUCCGAGUGUAGAGGUGAAAUUCGUAGAUAUUCGGAAGAACACCAGUGGCGAAGGCGACAUACUGGCUCAUUACUGACGCUGAGGCUCGAAAGCGUGGGGAGCAAACAGGAUUAGAUACCCUGGUAGUCCACGCCGUAAACGAUGAUUGCUAGUUGUCGGGAAGCUUGCUUCUCGGUGACGCAGCUAACGCAUUAAGCAAUCCGCCUGGGGAGUACGGUCGCAAGAUUAAAACUCAAAGGAAUUUGACGGGGGCCCGCACAGCGGUGGAGCAUGUUGGUUUAAUUCGAAGCAACGCGCAGAACCUUACCACCUUUUGACAUGCCCGGACCGCCACAGAGAUGUGGUUUUCCCUUCGGGGACUGGGG